RNAcentral lists this ribosomal RNA (662 nucleotides) under uncultured Actinomycetales bacterium. Its description in RNAcentral is "bacterial SSU rRNA". It matches the Rfam family "Bacterial small subunit ribosomal RNA", at positions 765 to 1420 of the family's 1533-position model. Lineage: Bacteria; Bacillati; Actinomycetota; Actinomycetes; Actinomycetales. The record is from RNAcentral.
GGAGCGAACAGGAUUAGAUACCCCUGGUAGUCCACGCCGUAAACGGUGGGCCCUAGAUGUGGGAAUUUUUCUACGGUUUCCGUGUCGCAGCUAACGCAUUAAGUGCCCCGCCUGGGGAGUACGGUCGCAAGGCUAAAACUCAAAGGAAUUGACGGGGGCCCGCACAAGCGGCGGAGCAUGCGGAUUAAUUCGAUGCAACGCGAAGAACCUUACCAAGGCUUGACAUAUGCCAGACAGGGUCAGAGAUGGCUUUUCCCUCUUUGAGGGCUGGUAUACAGGUGGUGCAUGGUUGUCGUCAGCUCGUGUCGUGAGAUGUUGGGUUAAGUCCCGCAACGAGCGCAACCCUUGUCCUAUGUUGCCAGCAUGUUAUGAUGGGGACUCAUAGGAGACUGCCGUGGUUAACACGGAGGAAGGUGGGGAUGACGUCAAAUCAUCAUGCCCCUUAUGUCUUGGGCUUCACGCGUGCUACAAUGGCCGGUACAAUGGGUUGCGAUGCUGUAAGGUGGAGCUAAUCCCAAAAAGCUGGUCUCAGUUCGGAUUGGGGUCUGCAACUCGACCCCAUGAAGUCGGAGUCGCUAGUAAUCGCAGAUCAGCAAUGCUGCGGUGAAUACGUUCCCGGGCCUUGUACACACCGCCCGUCAAGUCACGAAAGUUGGUAACAC